RNAcentral lists this transfer RNA (71 nucleotides) under Flammeovirgaceae bacterium. RNAcentral describes it as "tRNA-His". RNAcentral also lists the same sequence under 1 other name. The record is from RNAcentral. Lineage: Bacteria; Pseudomonadati; Bacteroidota; Cytophagia; Cytophagales; Flammeovirgaceae.
AGCUAUCGGGGCAGUUGGUUAGAGCGCCUGAUUGUGGUUCAGGAGGUCGUCGGUUCGAGACCGAUCUUCCA